RNAcentral lists this ribosomal RNA (438 nucleotides) under Rusa unicolor (Sambar). Its description in RNAcentral is "partial small subunit ribosomal RNA". It matches the Rfam family "Bacterial small subunit ribosomal RNA", at positions 770 to 1404 of the family's 1533-position model. Lineage: Eukaryota; Metazoa; Chordata; Mammalia; Artiodactyla; Cervidae. The record is from RNAcentral.
AACUGGGAUUAGAUACCCCACUAUGCCUAGCCUUAAACACAAAUAGUUGUAUAAACAAAACUAUUCGCCAGAGUACUACCGGCAAUAGCUUAAAACUCAAAGGACUUGGCGGUGCUUUACACCCUUCUAGAGGAGCCUGUUCUAUAAUCGAUAAACCCCGAUAAACCUCACCAUUCCUUGCUAAUACAGUCUAUAUACCGCCAUCUUCAGCAAACCCUAAAAAGGUACAAAAGUAAGCACAAUCAUAAUACAUAAAAACGUUAGGUCAAGGUGUAACCUAUGGAACGGAAAGAAAUGGGCUACAUUUUCUAAUCUAAGAAAACCCAACACGAAAGUUAUUAUGAAAUUAAUAACCAAAGGAGGAUUUAGCAGUAAACUAAGAAUAGAGUGCUUAGUUGAAUUAGGCCAUGAAGCACGCACACACCGCCCGUCACCCUC